ACACCCAUGCGAAGCAGCUCGCUGGCCUGCACUGACGCUGAGGCGCGAAAGCGUGGGGAGCAAACAGGAUUAGAUACCCUGGUAGUCCACCCCGUAAACGAUGAGUGCUAGGUGUAAGGGGUAUCGACCCCCCUUGUGCCGCAGCUAACGCAAUAAGCACUCCGCCUGGGGAGUACAGCCGCAAGGUUGAAACUCAAAGGAAUUGACGGGGGCCCGCACAAGCGGUGGAGCAUGUGCAUUAAUUCGUCACUAACCGAAGAACCUUACCAGGGUUUGACAUCUCUGGACAUCCCAUGAAAGUGGGCUUUCCCCGCAAGGGGACCAGAAGACAGGUGUUGCAUGGUUGUCGUCAGCUCGUGUCGUGAGAUGUUGGGUUAAGUCCCGCAACGAGCGCAACCCUCACCCAAUGUUGCCAGCGUCAAGUCGGGCACUCUUUGGGAACUGCCCGUGUAAGCGGGAGGAAGGUGGGGAUGACGUCAAAUCGGCAUGGCCCUUACAUCCUGGGCUUGACACAUGCUACAAUGGCCGUUAAACAGAGCGACGCAAUACCGCGAGGUGGAGCCAAUCGCAAAAAUACGGUCUCAGUUCAGAUUGCAGGCUGCAACUCGCCUGCAUGGAGUUGGAAUCGCUAGUAACCGCAGGUCAGCUAAACUGCGGUGAAUACGUUC
This 668-nucleotide ribosomal RNA is filed under the name uncultured bacterium. RNAcentral describes it as "bacterial SSU rRNA". It matches the Rfam family "Bacterial small subunit ribosomal RNA", at positions 706 to 1373 of the family's 1533-position model. The record is from RNAcentral.